This 63-nucleotide transfer RNA is filed under the name Amynthas yambaruensis. RNAcentral's name for it is "tRNA-Trp". The record is from RNAcentral. Lineage: Eukaryota; Metazoa; Annelida; Clitellata; Crassiclitellata; Megascolecidae.
AAGACUUUAAGUUAAAUAAACUAAAAACCUUCAAAGUUUUCAAUAGAGUAUAUCUAAGUCUUG